AUGUGGAGCUGUUGGGCAAGCAGAGUUCUAUCUGGGUAUUUAGGCAAGAACAAAUCAGACGGAACAAGUUUGCUACGGGUGGGUGUGCAUCAAGCUGCUUCGUUGCCGGCGGCGAGUAAUCUCACACAUGUUUAUGGCGCAUAUGUACCAGAAAAUUCAAAAGGUUCUGAUCAUACGUGCGAGGGGAAUCAGGUAGGGCUUGAUGCGCCUUCCAUACGAAAUGUUGAUGAGAAUUACCCAAGUAGUCCAGAUGCAUGUCAGGUUGUUCGCUUGGUCUGCGCCAACGAGCAUCUCCUACAAGUCAUCAUCUCUCUCUUUGUCGGCUCCAUGUUGUAG
RNAcentral lists this ribosomal RNA (336 nucleotides) under Triticum aestivum (bread wheat). Its description in RNAcentral is "partial small subunit ribosomal RNA". Lineage: Eukaryota; Viridiplantae; Streptophyta; Magnoliopsida; Poales; Poaceae. The record is from RNAcentral.